This 284-nucleotide unclassified non-coding RNA is filed under the name uncultured fungus. RNAcentral's name for it is "sequence contains ITS2". The stretch from base 1 to 52 matches the Rfam family "5.8S ribosomal RNA", at positions 103 to 154 of the family's 154-position model. Lineage: Eukaryota; Fungi. The record is from RNAcentral.
AACGCACAUUGCGCCCGCCGGCAUUCCGGCGGGCAUGCCUGUUCGAGCGUCGUUAAAUCUUCCCCAGGUCACCCUGGUGUUGGGGCUAUUUAGGGGGGGGGGGUUCCUCCCUCCUUAAGCCCUUGAGCAGAGUGGCGGCGUGGCCGGGCUCCGAGCGAAGUAGAAAGCUAUCCCGCUCAGGAUGCCCUGGUGCGCGUCUGGCCGUGAAAAGACUUUGUCCCGGUCCCGGUGACAAAUGUAAACAGGUCGACCUCGGAUCAGGUAGGAAUACCCGCUGAACUUAA